UACGAACCGGACAAACGUUAUUCGGAAUCACUCGGCUUACAGGGUGCGUAGGCGGUCUGGAGGGUGGGGUGUGAAAUCCCUCGGCUCAACCGAGGAAUUGCGCUCCAAACCGGCAGACUUGAGGGAGACAGAGGUGUGCGGAACUGAUGGUGGAGCGGUGAAAUGCGUUGAUAUCAUCAGGAACACCAGUGGCGAAAGCGGCUAACUGGGUCUCUUCUGACGCUGAGGCGCGAAAGCAAGGGGAGCGAACGGG
RNAcentral lists this ribosomal RNA (253 nucleotides) under uncultured bacterium. RNAcentral describes it as "partial 16S ribosomal RNA". It matches the Rfam family "Bacterial small subunit ribosomal RNA", at positions 524 to 776 of the family's 1533-position model. The record is from RNAcentral.